Molecule: ribosomal RNA, 468 nt
Filed under: uncultured bacterium
Lineage: Bacteria
Description: partial 16S ribosomal RNA
Rfam family: Bacterial small subunit ribosomal RNA
Source: RNAcentral
GACGAACGCUGGCGGCGUGCUUAACACAUGCAAGUCGAACGGAAAGGCCCUGCUUUUGUGGGGUGCUCGAGUAGCGAACGGGUGAGUCACACGUGAGUAACCUGCCCUUGACUUUGGGAUAACUUCAGGAAACUGGGGCUAAUAACGGAUAGGAGCUCCUGCUGCAUGGUGGGGGUUGGAAAGUUUCGGCGGUUGGGGAUGGACUCGCGGCUUAUCAGCUUGUUGGUGGGGUAGUGGCUUACCAAGGCUUUGACGGGUAGCCGGCCUGAGAGGGUGACCGGCCACAUUGGGACUGAGAUACGGCCCAGACUCCUACGGGAGGCAGCAGUGGGGAAUAUUGCACAAUGGGCGGAAGCCUGAUGCUGCAACGCCGCGUGCGGGAUGACGGCCUUCGGGUUGUAAACCGCUUUCGCCUGUGACGAAGCGUGAGUGACGGUAAUGGGUAAAGAAGCACCGGCUAACUACGUG